GUUAUAUGGUCAAGUGAAUAAGCGCAGACGGUGGAUGCCUAGGCGGUAGGAGGCGAUGAAGGACGUGGUAGCCUGCGAAAAGCUUCGGGGAGUCGGCAAACAGACGUUGAUCCGGAGAUGUCCGAAUGGGGAAACCCACCUGCCAUCAGGCAGGUAUCGUGCACUGAAUCCAUAGGUGUACGAAGCAAACCCGGGGAACUGAAACAUCUCAGUACCCGGAGGAACAGAAAUCAACCGAGAUUCCCUCAGUAGCGGCGAGCGAACGGGGAUUAGCCCUUAAGCGCGGUCAAGAGUAGUGGAACGGUCUGGAAAGUCCGGCGGCACAGGGUGAUAGCCCCGUACACGAAACUCUUUUCCGGGUGAAAUCGAGUAGGGCGGGACACGUGAUAUCCUGUCUGAACAUGGGGGGACCAUCCUCCAAGGCUAAAUACUCCCUACCGACCGAUAGUGAACCAGUACCGUGAGGGAAAGGCGAAAAGAACCCCGUUGAGGGGAGUGAAAUAGAACCUGAAACCGUCUGCGUACAAGCAGUGGGAGCCCCUUCGGGGGUGACUGCGUACCUUUUGUAUAAUGGGUCAGCGACUUACUUCUCAGUGGCAAGCUUAACCGAUGAGGGGAGGCGUAGCGAAAGCGAGUCUGAACAGGGCGAUUCAGUCGCUGGGAGUAGACCCGAAACCGGGCGAUCUACCCAUGGCCAGGGUGAAGGCGCGGUAACACGCGCUGGAGGCCCGAACCGGGAUCUGUUGAAAAAGAUUCGGAUGAGCUGUGGGUCGGAGUGAAAGGCUAAUCAAGCCCGGAGAUAGCUG
Molecule: ribosomal RNA, 806 nt
Filed under: Gammaproteobacteria bacterium
Lineage: Bacteria; Pseudomonadati; Pseudomonadota; Gammaproteobacteria
Description: partial 23S ribosomal RNA
Rfam family: Bacterial large subunit ribosomal RNA
Source: RNAcentral